Molecule: ribosomal RNA, 440 nt
Filed under: uncultured bacterium
Lineage: Bacteria
Description: partial 16S ribosomal RNA
Rfam family: Bacterial small subunit ribosomal RNA
Source: RNAcentral
CCUACGGGUGGCAGCAGUGGGGAAUAUUGCACAAUGGGGGAAACCCUGAUGCAGCGACGCCGCGUGAGUGAAGAAGUACUUCGUUAUGUAAAGCUCUAUCAGCAGGGAAGAAAAUUACGGUACCUGAGUAAGAAGCCCCGGCUGAAUAAGUGACAGCAGCCGCCGUUAUACGUAGGGGGGAAGCGUUUGCCGGAUUUACGGGGUGUAAAGGGAGCGUAGACGGCAGUGCAAGUCUGGAGUGAAAGGCGGGGGCUCAACCCCCGGACUGCUCUGGAAACUGUACGGCUGGAGUGCAGGAGAGGUAGGUGGAAUUCCUAGUGUAGCGGUGAAAUGCGUAGAUAUUAGGAGGAACACCAGUGGCGAAGGCGGCUUACUGGACUGUAACUGACGUUGAGGCUCGAAAGCGUGGGGAGCAAACAGGAUUAGAUACCCCAGUAGUC